Molecule: non-coding RNA, 45 nt
Filed under: Schistosoma margrebowiei
Lineage: Eukaryota; Metazoa; Platyhelminthes; Trematoda; Strigeidida; Schistosomatidae
Source: RNAcentral
AUCCAGCUGAAGUGUCCUAAAUAGGACGAAACGUGCGUCUUGGAU